AAAAGCAAAACGGUGCCCGUUAGCGUUGAGGUAUAUGCGCUGUGUUUCGCACCGCUGCUGCUGCUGCUGCUCACCUCUUUCUUUCUCUUGCUGCCCGCUUCUUUCGCCGGCCUUUACUUCUGCUUCACUGGCUUCCUUUUUUUUUUUCGCUCUGUUCUCGUGGUGUGUGUGUGUGUGUGGUGGAAGAGAUAUCUGUCCGCCUCUGUUCUCUGUGCCUGUCUAGCUGUCCUUGCACCUCAGAAGAAAUAUCGCAUUGCCUUUUCAGUGAGACAGCUGCACCAUUGGUGAAGAGCUCUGCACGACAAAGUCAUUGAGAGCCAGUUUUGAUGUGUGCUGUCGCUCCUUAGCACAGUGCUCCUCAGUGCCUAUACUGCCCGUGAAGAACGUUUUUUUUUGUUUUGCCAUUUCCUGUCUUCUUCGCAACUGUUGGAGAAGUCAAUGUCUUCACUUGACACGCGAGACGCAGUGAAGCACUAUGAGCUGCGUCACAACGUCUUGUUGCAGAGUAUACUGCCCGGGGGUCUCCUCUCGUCUCUGGAACUGAAGGAGCGUUGUGAGGCUCUUUUGGUGCCGCGGCAGGUCUCGCUCGAGGUGCUGCACAUUGCCCCGUACUUUCUAGCCACUGCACAGCGUCCAUCCACCGAGUCGAGCGCCAAGGCCGCACCACCGCUGUCGGCGCUCUUUGGUGAGGAAGACGACGCGGCAGAGAGGGGCGGAUCUCCCCAACAGGGUAAUGACGCCGCGAAUGAUGGGGGGCGGGCCGGCGGCGUGACGUUUCCGCCAGAAAACAUCGACGCUUUCAGGGCUGUCCUCACCCGGUUUCUCGAGUAUCACCUCCUGCACUUCGACGGCUUUGGAAACUCCGAGUUCACCAACCUUAGCGGCCAGCGCGGCUCCUUCGCCGAAGAUCUGGACCAUGUGAAACGGUUCGGCCACUUUGGCCAGGUCGCCGUCCUCGCUGAUGCAGAUGCGCUUCGACCAAGGGGUAGCGGCGCUAGCGCUGACGGUACCUCCGCAGCCGCGGGCAAUCUUCCAUGCCAUCCCUCGUCUCUGCAAAUCUUCAUAAUCGACAAGCCUUUGAUGGACUCUGAAGAAGUGCGCCUCGUCAGGGAGGCGCUGCACAAGCUCACAGUGUCCGCGGUUUCCAAAAUCGAGGCGAAGAUGUGCACGCCAAGGCUCACGACCAGCCUGGUAGACAUACCGUUUUUAAUGGGAGACCAGGACGCUGGACACUUGACAGCGCACAUGAAGCAAUCGUCGGAACAGUACGCUCUAUCGGCACCCUCAGCAGCCCGCGUGGCGGCGGCGAACGCAAUAGACGCAACGGAUACGAACUCCUGUGACGGGUCCCUUACCGAAACGGUUGUGAUUGAGGACUUUGAAGAUGAGCCGCCGGAGGAUCCUGACCUGGAGGCCUACGUGGCCAAGUACACGCACAUUAGCGAGCGGCAGCGUCAGCGCAGCGAAUCGACUCUCUCGGCGAGGGAAAUGUUGAACAGUGGCGGCAAUGCCAACGCUCAAGAUGAGGUGAGUCGCGCACCGUGUUUGUCCCACUCGCUCCCCUCUGCCCACGGACACCAAGACGUUGCUGUGGCCGGUGCUGGCUGCCCUCCGAAUGCGUCUAGAGCGGCAGGUACAAAGACUGCUGCUGCCGCCAAGACUAGCAUGCACGCCAAUGUUCUGUGCCACGAGUACAGCCGCGAGUGCAUCAAGGACUACCGCCGUGUAGUGGCCGCCGACAACGAGAUCUUCUACAGCGAGUUUGAGCGGCUCAUGUCACUACGGUGCGCGGGUUCGCUGGCGAGGGUGAUGAGCGAGUACGUGUCGAAAAAUCAGCACUUGCAGCAGCCAAUUCGGAGUAGUGCCGUGUACAAUAAGUUCGUGGAAAGGUGCCACGCACUGUUGCGCAGGACCCCGCGUCUCUCUGCGGACAGGGAGCGGCUGACGAUAAUGCAGGAGGGCGUCGAACGGUACGUCACGUCGCGCCUCUACCACCAAAUCUUCAACGUUUCUGAGGACGAGCGGCGCAAAAACGAGCGAAUGCAGCAGAAGCUCCUACGGCUGGAGAACAUGGCGCCAGCGGAUUUGGAUGCGCUGCCAGAAGUGGAGCUGCACCACGUGUGGGGCCAGGCGAUGUUUGAGCUGGAUGGCAUGGACUUCUUCAAGUCCCCGCGAGAGAAGCUGCGGUGUGGAAUGCGGUCAUGCGAGCUGCUGAGCCUCGCGGUCGGUGACAUUCUUCGACAGCGGCGCGAAGCCAAGCGCGCAGAGAAUGCUGCCAAAACCGCCGCCUCCGGGAACGCCGGUGGUGUUCCGCUAGCGUUCGGUGCCGACGAGUUUUUGCCUUGCUUUCUCUUGCUGGUGCUCCGCGCUCGUCCGCUGAGCUUUGUGCAGAACGUGCUCUACAUUGAAAAGUUCCGCUGUCCCGCACUCAUGUCCACUGAGGAGUCGUACUGCCUUGCGACACUGCAGUCGUCCUUGCUAUUCUGGGAGAACUACGGUGAGGACGGGCAGAUGGAUGCGGCCUGUACCACAGCCUCCCCGCCUGGUAGCGCUGAAGCGACGUCGCACAACGGGGGUUCAGCGAGCAUCCGCGCGCUCACCAAGGCGCCCCCGUCACUUUCGGGGAUAAUGCAGCAACAGCAGCCACCGCCACAGAUGACGGAGAAAGAUCUGCUGCCUUCUGUGCGACAGGCGUCCUCUACUGGUCGCCAGCAGGCCGGGCUGACAAACAUCAGUCAGCCAGGCAGCGAAGCAGCAGCAGUCUCAGAGGGGAGAUCGAUGGAAGAGGAGGCGCCAACCGUCCUGGAUGUGCUGUUUGGCUGGGCGAACCGGAACUUGGCCCCCCUCGCCAGUGAGAUUGGCCUCGGUGGAAAAGCCGGUGGCUCGGAUGGAGACGGAUCAGCACGUCAAAGUGACAGCCUCGGUACUAAGCCGGCUUCCAUCACUGGCCCAGGUGCGGUUGGACGCCUCUCCCCACCGCGGGGCACCGUCGCAGCGCCCACCUCCGGCAGCGAAAGGGCCGAUGAAGUAAAAGAUACAAGUUGUGCUGCUGAUGUUUUCCACGCCGCCUUGGCACCAGCGUUAUCACCGCCCCACCUUGCUUCCGAUAUGUCCCCGCGCGCCCGUGUGCGGCAGCUUCUGGUGACGCAGAAUAAGACAUUUGAACAGCUCACGUUGGCAGAGCUGCAGAUGAUUGUGGAAGAGGCUCGUCAACUCCUACUUGAGGGUAAAUAGGCGAGCGUUUGCCUGUCACACAUUGGGAGACCUUUUUGUUUGGUUUUGUUAUUUGGCGGUGGCGGGCAGAGAGAAAGAGAGCAGGAAAAGGAUGAGUAUAUACCGGAGCAAAUGUGGAGGCGUGAGGCGGCCUUGCCGUUGCUCUGUCCUCUGCGGCUCCGUGCCUUUCGCGUGAUUCUCUUCUUUGCUGCCUUGGUCAGUGGACGAUAGAAACGGAGCUCGUUAAUUGUUUUUUUUUCCUUGCACUUUCCCGUCACCUUCUGGGAUUGUUUCGCUUUUUUUUUCGCCUGUGUCCCGACCGCGAGGGUGCCUUUCUCGGGGUGUUUUCGCUUGCGCGCAUGUGUGGUGGUUUUUUUUUUCAGCUCGCCUGUGCUCGGCAGUGCCUCGCGAACGACGACCUCUGCUAUCGCUAGUGCCCUCCACUUCCUCGUACCCCCGUGGUGAGGCUCUCACAUGUGUCUUCUCUGUUUUGGUAGCGCUUCCGAUGUGGACUUUUUUUUUGUUGCCCCUUUUUCGUUGGUUCAUCUUCUGUGCUCUUCGCCGCGUUUUGCCUGUUUCUCUUCUGUACCUCACUGGGUGUGCGUUCUUGGUCUCCCCGUCACCGUUUGCUGCUGAAGAAGUGUCUUUUCUAUGAGCCCCUGUGCACCUGCAAUCGGUGAAAACACUUGUUUCUUCUUUUUGUGUGCGUCUCGGGGGCUGCCCUUCGCGCCACACUCCGUAGCAUACGCUCCCCCUUUGUAUCCGCGUAGGCUGGUGCAGCGAGCCACGCGCUGUGAAAAGAAAAAGGCAUCGAUCACCAUUCUUCGCCUUUUUUGUGUGGCAAAGCGGUUUCGGCAGCAUACCCCCCCCUCCUCCCCCAGAAGAGCAGAACGAUGAACAUGCUUAUGUGUGUUGCUCCUCCUCCAUGAUCGCUCGUCGCCCGGGACGGUGGUUUCAUUCGUCGCUUCCUCUUCCACUCCCCCUUCUGUUUGCUCUUUUCCAAG
Molecule: unclassified non-coding RNA, 4217 nt
Filed under: Leishmania donovani
Lineage: Eukaryota; Euglenozoa; Kinetoplastea; Trypanosomatida; Trypanosomatidae
Description: gene:LdHU3.36.6570(CDS-product:Vacuolar_sorting_p rotein_9_(VPS9)_domain_containing_protein_putative)
Source: RNAcentral